UGGGGAAUUUUGGACAAUGGGCGAAAGCCUGAUCCAGCAAUGCCGCGUGCAGGACGAAGGCCUUCGGGUUGUAAACUGCUUUUGUACGGAACGAAACGGUCUCUUCUAAUACAAGGGGCUAAUGACGGUACCGUAAGAAUAAGCACCGGCUAACUACGUGCCAGCAGCCGCGGUAAUACAGAGGGUGCGAGCGUUAAUCGGAUUUACUGGGCGUAAAGCGUGCGUAGGCGGUUUGGUAAGACAGAUGUGAAAUCCCCGGGCUUAACCUGGGAACUGCAUUUGUGACUGCCAGACUAGAGUGUAGCAGAGGGGGGUAGAAUUCCACGUGUAGCAGUGAAAUGCGUAGAUAUGUGGAGGAAUACCGAUGGCGAAGGCAGCCCCCUGGGCUAACACUGACGCUCAUGCACGAAAGCGUGGGGAGCAAACAGGAUUAGAUACCCACGUAGUCCCUGAGCGGGCUGGCAAGGCGCAU
This 472-nucleotide ribosomal RNA is filed under the name uncultured bacterium. RNAcentral describes it as "bacterial SSU rRNA". It matches the Rfam family "Bacterial small subunit ribosomal RNA", at positions 355 to 825 of the family's 1533-position model. The record is from RNAcentral.